CUACGACAACGGCAAACUUAUCGAAAGGUAAGGACGCAAAGCUACGGGUCUAAGGCCGUUAAAAGCUAUGAUCGCCGGGUUACCGAA
This 87-nucleotide non-coding RNA is filed under the name Domibacillus aminovorans. RNAcentral's name for it is "Bacillus aminovorans c-di-GMP sequence". It matches the Rfam family "c-di-GMP-I riboswitch aptamer". From Rfam's summary of the family: GEMM was predicted in a large-scale screen for bacterial structured RNA regulatory elements. Genes associated with GEMM are involved in a diverse array of functions, including chemotaxis regulation, signal transduction, secretion and chitin. Lineage: Bacteria; Bacillati; Bacillota; Bacilli; Caryophanales; Bacillaceae. The record is from RNAcentral.